GGUUCUUACGUUGGCCUGCCUGAGGAAGCCAUCUGGACGGAGGAAAUUUGCCUUAAACCUUGGCAAGAGAACUUUGUUCUGUUUGAACUUUGUUUAAAGCCUCAGAGUGGGUGAUCAUUUUGUUUAAACUUUCCUUAAAACAAAGAGUGGGAGAUUCCCCGCAAUUAACAACAGGAACCUUUGUCCCAUCUUAACAGAUCUGAUAGGAAAAAAAAAUGCAAGGACUGUUCUGACAUCCAUUAAUGCAGUUCAGUUAGAGGGACGGAAAGGAAGACACAAAGGAGGAAGAUUCUGCAGUCUCAGGAGAGGUUAAGUCGAUUACUGAAGGACUGAUGCUGAAGCUGAAGCUACAAUACUCUGGCCGCCUGAUUCGAAGAACCAACUCAUUGGAAAAGACCCUGAUGCUGGGCAAGAUUGAAGGCAGGAGGAGAAGGGGACGACAGAGGAUGAGAUGGUUGGAUGGCAUCACCGACUCAAUGGACAUGAGUUUAAGCAAUCUCUGGGAGUUGGUGAAGGACAGGAGAGCCUGGCAUGCAGUCCAUGAGGUCGCAGUCCAACAGUCACAAGGUCUGACUCUUUGAGUCCAAAGAGUCACACACGACUGAGCGACUGAACUGAAUAUAUAUGUGUUGAGCCCCUGAAGAUAAGGAAAAUGAAGUGCUUGUGGCUAAAGUGGAAGAUGACGCCCCCUGCUCCCCAAGGUCAGGAUUUCAAGUGUUGGACUUUCCUCAAAGGAUUGGGCAUUUCUAGGAAUCAUUUGAUAAGCACCAUAUUGUACAUGAGCAUUGUAACUCCUCAAACUGCCUCUGCGUUUCCCU
Long non-coding RNA from Bos taurus (domestic cattle), 818 nucleotides. The record is from Ensembl. NCBI's taxonomy places the organism in Eukaryota, Metazoa, Chordata, Mammalia, Artiodactyla, Bovidae.